AUGGACUCCUCGCUCGUAAGCCAUUCAUGUUGACAGCGGUUAUCUUCCGCGUGGCUCGGCUCUUGCCGGUUAUCCACUGCCGACCGCCCCCGAGGAGUUCCCGGUCUCCGUCGGCUGCGCCGGCCAUGUCGCCGCCUGCAACACCUCGUUGCCUCUCCUUCUCCGUUCAUUCUUUUCCCAAGUCCAGUCGCAGCCGCCGCCGGAUCCGGUUGCCCUCGACCCAACGCAGGACGCCGCAGCCCCUACAAGUCCAGCCGCCGCCGGAUCCGGCUGAGUUUAGCUUUCUGGUCGGUGCAGCCACUAAAAAAGCAUUCUACACAAAAAAAUCCCCACCGAGAAGCUCUCAAUUGCGUUGCUCUUCUUCCACAUCUCCAUUCCUCUAGCACAGAGCUGCUCUUCUUCUUCUUCCCUCUAUUCAUCCAUCCAGCGAGCCCACGAACCCACAUCGUCAGCGCUGCUCUCCUUCUCUUCUCUCUAUCAGCGGCUGCUCUCCUUCCUCUUCUAUCCGUUCUCCAGCCACACCAAACUCACGCACGCCCGUGGCGGCUGCUUCGCGUUCGUCGCCCGGUUGCGGCGCGGCUGCAUAUCGUGUAUGGGCUCGUGGUGGUCGGGCCGCGCGCACGGUGCUGGCUGGGCUUGUGGCGGAGGGUGCGGCAGCAGUGGCCUCGACCUUGGAGGCGCGGCAGUGGUGUGGCCCGGCCGCGCACACGGUGUUGGCUGGGCCUGUGGCGGAGGGCGCGGCAGCGGUGGUCUACUCAGGGUCGACGCAACAACGGUGGCCUGCUCAAGGUCGACCUUGGCGGCUGCUCGACGGGGCCGCGUGGAUCUGCGUCGGGGCUCCGGGCUCCGGAUCGGCGUGGUCGUGUCCAGCCCACCCUCCUCCGACUACGCCUUGCUGCGGGGCUGCGGGCCCAGAUCUCGUCGGUGGACGCUUGGACUAUUUUUUCUGAAUCUUCACCUGGGCUCUCUUUUUUUCUUUAAGAUUAGCCUAAAUGGCAAAUUAGCUGCAACCAUUCUCCUCUGUAAGCUGGGCAGCUAGUGCUGCUAUUUUUUUUAUUCACGGUAGUGGUGGCAAAGAGGCGGAGGAGGUCCCGGCCAGGGGAGGCACAUACGGCGGCGAAGAGAAGGGCCGCCGGGAGUGGGCACGCGUGAACCACUCGCAGUCGCCGGGGAUCUGGAGGCUGGCCGGCGGAGAUCGCCACCUCUGUUUUUUAUCAGGCGGCGGAGGUGUCGAGGAAGAGGAAGACGGGAUCGUGGGUUGAAUUACUACAAAUGCAGGGUCUUUUUUGUAAAAACAAAACGUUUUCUCAGAUCCCCUUAAGAAGGGACUGCAGGUUUAAUUAUGA
This 1346-nucleotide ribosomal RNA is filed under the name Triticum aestivum (bread wheat). Its description in RNAcentral is "partial small subunit ribosomal RNA". The record is from RNAcentral. Lineage: Eukaryota; Viridiplantae; Streptophyta; Magnoliopsida; Poales; Poaceae.